UCGGGUGCCCAGUCCUCCUGAAUGGGGCCUCUCCCAGAGUGGGUGUCAGGCCUUUACUGGCACUCGACGCUGUGGUUCUGAACGUCCUUGGAGUCGGGUUGUUUGAGAAUGCAGCCCAAGUGGGUGGUAAACUCCAUCUAAGGCUAAAUACCGACACGAGUCCGAUAGCGGACAAGUACCGUGAGGGAAGUUGAAAGAACUUUGAAGAGAGAGUUCAAGAGACGUGAACUGCUUAGAGGUAACGGGUGGAUCCGCAAGUCGACCCGGGGAAUUCAACUUGCCGUUCUCAGAUGGCGACGUUGGGAUAGGGAUCUGUAAAGACCCGCCUGGCGUUCGGCUGUCUUCGGCGAGUGCACUUUCCUCGGGUAGAGUGCCACGACCGGUUUCUGGGCGGUCACAAGCCAGUCGGGAAGGUGACUUCCUCCUCGGAGGAAGUGUUAUAGCCCGGCCAGGUCGACUCGUUCUGAGACCGAGGAUUUGCCGCGUCUCACCUGCUCUCGGCCCUCUGCUCUGCGUUCGACUGGGGAAGCACUGCGUGCAGUUCUCUCCGACCGCGUGGGUGGAUUGGCUGGGAAGCACGAGGCGCUGCGGGUCAGUGGCGAAUCGGUCGGUCCUCCACCCGACCCGUCUUGAAACACGGACCAAGGAGUCUAACAUGUGCGCGAGUCAUGGGGUUCUGUACGAAACCUAAAGGCGCAAUGAAAGUGAAGGUCAACCUCCGGUCGGCCUAGGUAGGAUCCCCGUCGAGGGGCGCACUACCGGCCCGUCUCGACCACGUCGUUGGUGGGGCGGAGCAAGAGCGUACACGUUGGGACCCGAAAGAUGG
RNAcentral lists this ribosomal RNA (826 nucleotides) under Gigantidas childressi. RNAcentral's name for it is "partial 28S ribosomal RNA". It matches the Rfam family "Eukaryotic large subunit ribosomal RNA", at positions 174 to 826 of the family's 3401-position model. The record is from RNAcentral. Lineage: Eukaryota; Metazoa; Mollusca; Bivalvia; Mytilida; Modiolidae.